UCCGGUUGAUCCUGCCAGAGGUUACUGCUAUCGAGGUUCGACUAAGCCAUGCGAGUCGAAUGUAGCAAUACAUGGCGUACUGCUCAGUAACACGUGGACAACCUGCCCUUAGGUUGGGUAUAAACCCGGGAAACUGGGUAUAAUCCCCUAUAAGUCUCGGCUGCUGGAAUGCACCGAGAUUAAAAGCUCCGGCGCCUAAGGAUGGGUCUGCGGCCUAUCAGGUAGUAGUGGGUGUAGCGUACCUACUAGCCUACGACGGGUACGGGUUGUGAGAGCAAGAGCCCGGAGAUGGAUUCUGAGACACGAAUCCAGGCCCUACGGGGUGCAGCAGGCGCGAAAACUUUACAAUGCUGGCAACAGCGAUAAGGGAACCUCGAGUGCCAGGUUACAAAUCUGGCUGUCGAGAUGCCUAAAAAGCAUUUCAUAGCAAGGGCCGGGCAAGACCGGUGCCAGCCGCCGCGGUAACACCGGCGGCUCGAGUGGUAACCGUUAUUAUUGGGUCUAAAGGGUCUGUAGCCGGCCGGAUAAGUCUCUUGAGAAAUCUGGCAGCUUAACUGUCAGGCUUUCAGGAGAUACUGUCUGGCUCGAGGCCGGGAGAGGUGAGAGGUACUUCAGGGGUAGGGGUGAAAUCUUGUAAUCCUUGAAGGACCACCAGUGGCGAAGGCGUCUCACCAGAACGGACCUGACGGCAAGGGACGAAAGCUAGGGGCACGAACCGGAUUAGAUACCCGGGUAGUCCUAGCCGUAAACGAUACUCGCUAGGUGUCGGCCACGGUGCGACCGUUGUCGGUGCCGUAGGGAAGCCGUGAAGCGAGCCACCUGGGAAGUACGGCCGCAAGGCUGAAACUUAAAGGAAUUGGCGGGGGAGCACCACAACGGGUGGAGCUUGCGGUUUAAUUGGAUUCAACGCCGGAAAUCUUACCGGGACCGACAGCAAUAUGAAGGCCAGGCUGAAGACUUUGCCGGAUUAGCUGAGAGGUGGUGCAUGGCCGUCGUCAGUUCGUACUGUGAAGCAUCCUGUUAAGUCAGGUAACGAGCGAGACCC
RNAcentral lists this ribosomal RNA (1045 nucleotides) under unidentified archaeon. Its description in RNAcentral is "bacterial SSU rRNA". It matches the Rfam family "Archaeal small subunit ribosomal RNA", at positions 1 to 1053 of the family's 1478-position model. The record is from RNAcentral.